Homo sapiens (human) is the source of this 117-nucleotide non-coding RNA. It matches the Rfam family "Metazoan signal recognition particle RNA". Rfam says of the family: The signal recognition particle (SRP) is a universally conserved ribonucleoprotein. The record is from Rfam. NCBI's taxonomy places the organism in Eukaryota, Metazoa, Chordata, Mammalia, Primates, Hominidae.
GCCGGGUGUGGUGGCUCAUGCCUGUAAUCCCAGCACUUUGGGAGGCCAGGGCGGGUGAAUCACCUGAGGUCAGGAGUUCAAGACCAGCCUGACCAACAUGGUGAAACCCCGUCCCUU